RNAcentral lists this ribosomal RNA (247 nucleotides) under uncultured bacterium. RNAcentral describes it as "partial 16S ribosomal RNA". It matches the Rfam family "Bacterial small subunit ribosomal RNA", at positions 523 to 769 of the family's 1533-position model. The record is from RNAcentral.
AUACGGAGGAUGCGAGCGUUAUCCGGAUUUAUUGGGUUUAAAGGGUGCGUAGGCGGAUCAGUAAGUCAGUGGUGAAAUUCUGCAGCUUAACUGUAGACUUGCCAUUGAUACUGUUGGUCUUGAGUAUGGUCAAGGCAGGCGGAAUGUGUAAUGUAGCGGUGAAAUGCUUAGAUAUUACACAGAACACCGAUUGCGAAGGCAGCUUGCUGGGCCAAUACUGACGCUGAUGCACGAAAGCGUGGGGAUC